UUCGUAGGUGGUGCGGCAAGUUGGAAGUGAAAUCUCUGGGCUUAACCCAGAGGCUGCUUUCAAAACUGCCGCGCUCGAGUGCGAGAGAGGUCAGUGGAAUUGCAGGUGUAGCGGUGAAAUGCGUAGAUAUCUGCAGGAACACCCGUGGCGAAGGCGGCCGACUGGAUCGCAACUGACACUGAGGAACGAAAGCUAGGGGAGCAAACAGGAUUAGAUACCCUGGUAGUCCUAGCCCUAAACCAUCAGAACUUGGGGUGGCCCGCGUAGGCGGGUCGUCCCGUAGCUAACGCGUUAAGUUCUGCGCCUGGGGAGUACGGUCGCAAGACUGAA
Molecule: ribosomal RNA, 330 nt
Filed under: uncultured bacterium
Lineage: Bacteria
Description: bacterial SSU rRNA
Rfam family: Bacterial small subunit ribosomal RNA
Source: RNAcentral